RNAcentral lists this ribosomal RNA (509 nucleotides) under uncultured bacterium. RNAcentral describes it as "partial 16S ribosomal RNA". The record is from RNAcentral.
GGAGUUAGCCGGUGCUUCUUCUGUGAGUGAUGUCCUUCCUGCCGGUUAUUGACCCGCAGGCCUUCUUCCUCACUGAAAGUGCUUUACAACCCGAAGGCCUUCUUCACACACGCGGCAUGGCUGGAUCAGGGUUGCCCCCAUUGUCCAAUAUUCCCCACUGCUGCCUCCCGUAGGAGUCUGGGCCGUGUCUCAGUCCCAGUGUGGCUGAUCAUCCUCUCAGACCAGCUACGGAUCGUCGCCUUGGUGAGCCGUUACCUCACCAACCAGCUAAUCCGACAUAGGCUCAUCCGAUAGCGCGAGGCCCGAAGGUCCCCCGCUUUCCCCCGUAGGGCGUAUGCGGUAUUAGCCUGGGUUUCCCCCAGGUUAUCCCCCACUACCGGGGCAGAUUCCUAUGCAUUACUCACCCGUCCGCCGCUCGCCACCAGGGAGCAAGCUCCCCGUGCUGCCGCUCGACUUGCAUGUGUUAGGCCUGCCGCCAGCGUUCAAUCUGAGCCAGAAUCGAACCCUGA